This is a long non-coding RNA of Meriones unguiculatus (Mongolian gerbil), 545 nucleotides long. RefSeq lists it as uncharacterized. The record is from RefSeq and is a predicted model, not a curated record. NCBI's taxonomy places the organism in Eukaryota, Metazoa, Chordata, Mammalia, Rodentia, Muridae. The transcript has 3 exons.
GAUCCUUUCUAGAUCUCUGUGCUCAGCAGAAGCCAGGAAAGACAUGGUCCUGACUGGGAUGAGCUCUCUCAUGCCUCAGAGUCCAAAAGAACUAUAAAGAAUGCCUUAAAGAUGGAGCUGGUUUCCGCCUUCCACCUUCCCGAUGGUAACUGGCACUGACAGGAGAAGCAAACAGCAAUAAGGCCGGAUGCUGAGAAGGAAAAGACAAGCAUAAAAAAAGAAAUCAUUUGAUUUCAGGGCCUUCCUCACCAUAGGGAAGGAUAUUGGCUUUGAUAUGUGGCCUGCAGCACACUUACUGAAUUUUUGAUAGGAGACGACAGAGGUGGACAAAUUCAAGUAGAUAGCGGUCACCCCUGGAAUGCGGCCACUCCGGCGCAUGGUUUUGUUGUUCCAUUCAAUUACAGAAGUGGGAGGUAAUUGGACAGAGCAUGUCAUAACUUAAAUGUCAACUGUAUACCUUGGAGAAAGAGAGCAGAUACAAAGAUUUGUUCCUGAGCGAUGGAUUCUCACAGUUACAGCCUGCCAUGUGCCCUGGAGCACUCAUA